RNAcentral lists this unclassified non-coding RNA (497 nucleotides) under Hevea brasiliensis (rubber tree). Lineage: Eukaryota; Viridiplantae; Streptophyta; Magnoliopsida; Malpighiales; Euphorbiaceae. The record is from RNAcentral.
CUCAACCACACUCAUCCAACAUUUGAACCACAAUGUCAGCAAUUGCAGAAUGUGGGUGGCAGUGGGGUGAAAAUUGGCACUGUGUGUAGAGUUUGAUCAGUGGACUGCCCAUGUUUACCUCAAACAAUAAAAAGAGGCAAUGAUAUGCAUUGGCUAGUGCAUGUGCAAUAUAAGAUGGCAAUCCACAACCUUUUAUAAAGCAAACAUGCCUUGAAGCAUGUUCAAAUGGCUUUGUUUUGUUUGUAAAAUAGAACAAAUUAGUAAUGAAAUAACUAUUUUGAGUCAUCCAAUGUGUGUGGAAUUUGUACACCACAAAUUCCAUAUUUGAAAUUUGAACUGACGUAGACAUUUCAGCAUGGAACCAUGCGUGAUGAGACCAGAAUUAAAGAUUUCAUCAAGUAUUUACCCACUACAAACAGAACCUACUCAAUUGUUGUGCUUCAACCAGAACUUUUACGUUAUCAAAUUCUGACUGGUUCCAGCUCACCAUGCAAAAG